UACAGAGGUCCCAAGCGUUGUUCGGAUUCACUGGGCGUAAAGGGUGCGUAGGCGGUCGGGUAAGUCUGAUGUGAAAUCUCACAGCUUAACUGUGAAACUGCAUUGGAUACUAUCCGGCUAGAGGAAUGGAGGGGAGACUGGAAUACUUGGUGUAGCAGUGAAAUGCGUAGAUAUCAAGUGGAACACCAGUGGCGAAGGCGAGUCUCUGGACAUUUCCUGACGCUGAGGCACGAAAGCCAGGGAAGCAAACGGG
Molecule: ribosomal RNA, 253 nt
Filed under: uncultured bacterium
Lineage: Bacteria
Description: partial 16S ribosomal RNA
Rfam family: Bacterial small subunit ribosomal RNA
Source: RNAcentral